CCAGCAUCCAUUUUGAUUUAACUUGGCAACUAAAAUAUGUAUAAAUAAGUGUAUGAGAAAGGACUUUGAUUUGGCAUAAAAAUUAAAUAAAUUUGUCGUUAACUUUUCUCCAAAUACUUUUACCGAUACCUCUGCUGGUGGAUAUCGGUCCCAGACGGUAUCAUCAGCUCAGUAGUAAAUAAUAUUGUGCUGACAUGAUUUAUAACAAAACUUUCUAACAUUGUACUUUAAGGUAAUUAUACAUUCUUUGUUUUAUAGAUUCGGCUUC
Molecule: long non-coding RNA, 268 nt
Filed under: Mytilus galloprovincialis (Mediterranean mussel)
Lineage: Eukaryota; Metazoa; Mollusca; Bivalvia; Mytilida; Mytilidae
Source: RNAcentral